This is a long non-coding RNA of Tympanuchus pallidicinctus (lesser prairie-chicken), 1444 nucleotides long. RefSeq lists it as uncharacterized. The transcript has 3 exons. The record is from RefSeq and is a predicted model, not a curated record. Lineage: Eukaryota; Metazoa; Chordata; Aves; Galliformes; Phasianidae.
AGGAAGAAAAUGGAGGAACGGGGGGGGAACCUCUUUAAGGAGGAAGAAGUGGUGGCGAUCAAAUACCUGAUGUUGGAUGUAAGAGUAACACAGCAAGUGUGCAACCUAUAACUCAGCAAGAGCUGGCUGAGGAACAACGAUCUGACUUGCUACAGCCUUUAAGGUUUUGAAAUUCCCUGUUGGAAGAGGAUCAAACUUUCCGCUGUCUGUGAAGCAGAGCUGUUGAGACAUCCAUUUUCAUAUUCUCAAGGUCAAGCAUUUCUUGAGAUUUUUCUCUAUAGCAUCAGUUAAGACCUCAUAAACCUACCCUAACUAAAUUCAUUCAUGUGGCACUUACCUUGGAUAUCUUCAGCAACCAGAGAAAGCAGCUCUUUAAAAUGUAUGGAGACAGCCACCAGAUCAUGGCAAUAUGCAAAAAGCGUGGCGUUGUAACAGAAUUAUGGAGUGACCUCUGGGACAGUGGUGAGUUGGGAAUCAAUCUUUUGAAAACUGAUUUUCCCUUUGUGUCCUCUGCAAAGCCAGCUGAUCUCUCCUGCACAGUCCUCACCAAGAUGCAGCAAGCGGUGCUUGGUUUGCUGUGAGGAAAUGGGGCCAGUGUGCCCAGGCGGAUGCAAACUGUGGUCUGCGUUGUGUCAGCGUGGUCCUGGGGCAUUGCAUGCAAAGACGUGUGAAUCUCAGUCUUCCUCGCUGCUAGUGCUCCCAGAUGCACAGUGCAAACCCAUAUGUGAAGUGCGGUAAAAAAAUACCAACAAUAGAGCUGUAAACAUGAGUGAGCACUGCUUGGUUUGUAGGAGUUAGGGAUUGACUCCCCUGUGUUAAUUGACACCCCUUGGGUUAAUCACUCAUUUACUAGAAUGAAUGAUCACCAUUCAGUGCAGCAUGUGCUGUGAAAAGAGUAACAAAAAAGACAAAUAUCUAAAACCUAUUGUUAUGCUAAGGUAGAUAAGCAUGCAAAUAAGUCAUCACAGAUUGAAAAGCAGUCUGCUACCAGGAUGUGUUUUUUAGGUGUUCUGUUUUUGGUUGUUUUUUUUUUUUUAUAGUUCUCACUGAGCUAGGAGAAGGAAUAAAAAUAAAAUCAGAUCUUGAAACCAAAUUUCAGCUUUCAGAAGAAUGUGAUUAGAAUAUUUGUUUAUCCUCCCACCUCCAACGUGCCACUUCUCUAGGGGAUUCAGCUAUUGCAAUCAUAAGAAUGAUUUUAAUUUGUGGGAAAUGCAUCUUCAUUUUGCCAUGCUUAUAACUUGCUGGAGGGAGACGAGACCCCUUGCUAUCAAGUACUUUAAUGGGAAACUUCAGUUGAUAGAUUAUUGGGAGAAGCACUUCGGUGUGAUCUGUAGGAAAUUAAAAACACCUCCACUAUCAACAAUGGUGUCAUAGCCUUGAGGUAAAUACUUAUUGCUGUGUUCUUAUCUAUGAUUGGAAUCCUUGGAGUUGCUCAUGCAAAUGG